Molecule: ribosomal RNA, 147 nt
Filed under: uncultured Rickettsiella sp.
Lineage: Bacteria; Pseudomonadati; Pseudomonadota; Gammaproteobacteria; Legionellales; Coxiellaceae
Description: partial 16S ribosomal RNA
Rfam family: Bacterial small subunit ribosomal RNA
Source: RNAcentral
CUCCUACGGGAGGCAGCAGUGGGGAAUCUUGGACAAUGGGGGAAACCCUGAUCCAGCGAUACCGCGUGUGUGAAGAAGGCCUUCGGGUUGUAAAGCACUUUAAGUGGGGAAGAAAAGUAACCGAGGAAUAUUCGGUUACUUGACGGU